This is a non-coding RNA of Cyanistes caeruleus (blue tit), 624 nucleotides long. NCBI's taxonomy places the organism in Eukaryota, Metazoa, Chordata, Aves, Passeriformes, Paridae. The record is from RefSeq and is a predicted model, not a curated record.
GCCGGCACCGAUGCGUCAGGUCAUUCUGAGCAAAGGUUUUUUUCAGUCGGAUCGGGCUGGAACUUCACCGAAAAUUAUCUGCAUGUACUACUGAUCCAAACGUGAAUUAGCUGGUCAUAGCUUGCAUUCUGCUUCCUCCGUGGAAAACCUGCUGAGGCAGAACGCAGCGCUGCUGAUGCCGAAGUGCUUAUUCUGAGGCUUCAAGCAGGCUCCUGUCCAGCAGCUCUUCUGGAUGCAUUUCCACAUCCAUUCUUCCCAGGACUAGGUUUUUGGAUUCAGUAAAAGUGCAAGAAGCGCAGCCUGUGUUUAUCACCCAGUGCAGUUGACUUCUUUCCCCACUGGGAAAUGACUUGCUUUUGAUCUAGUGUUCUCUCCAUAAGCUGUGUGAGUCCAUGAUCUGUUUUCUGCUUGCUGUAGUAUGACAAAGCUGCUAUCAAGUUUUAGCCUCAGGCUGCCAAAAUCUGAGCCUGGAACUUGCCCAGAUAGGAACAGUCACUAAACAAAACAGGCUUUAUAAAGAAGCUUCCUGUAACCCUAGUUAAACUUUUCUUGCUUCAUCCCUGCAUCAAAAAAAGACUGGCUGUGUGCAGUAUGGCAUGAAGAAGUGGUCUGUAGGAGGAGAGC